AGAGUUUGAUCCUGGCUCAGCGCGAACGUUGGCGGCGUGCCUAACACAUGCAAGUCGUGGGGCAGCAGGCUACUACCUUCGGGUAGUAGUGCUGGCGACCGGCAAACGGGUGAGUAACGCGUAGCUUUACUUCCCUUAGGUUGGGGAUAACCCCGGGAAAGGGGGGCACGGGGCUUAUAACCCCAUAUAGAGCUUCGCUUCCAAAGGGUCUUAGCUCCGCCUAGAGAGUGGGCUUGCUCCCAUCAGCUUGUUGGUGAGGUAAUGGCUCACCAAGGCUACGGACGGGGUACGGUCUGAGAGGAUGACCAGCCACAGUGGGACUGAGACACGGGCCGCACCCCUACGGGGGGCAGCAGUGGGGAAUAUUGGGCAAUGGCCGAAAGGCUUGACCAGCGGACGCCGCGUGGUGGAUGAAGCCCUUCGGGGUGUAAACACCUGUUCUGGGGGAAAGACUUCUAAAGGCUGACGGUACCCCAGGAGAAAGGGACGGCUAACUACGUGCCAGCAGCCGCGGUAAUACGCAGGUCCCGAACGUUGCGCGAAAUUACUGGGCGUAAAGGGUCCGUAGGCGGUCUGGUAAGUGGAAGGUGAAAGCCCACGGCUCAACCGUGGAAUAGCCUUCCAAACUGCCGGACUUGAGGCAGGGAGAGGUCGGCGGAAUUCCCGGUGUAGCGGUGAAAUGCGUAGAUAUCGGGAGGAACACCGGUGGCGAAGGCGGCCGAUGGGAACUGACCUGACGCUGAAGGACGAAAGCCAGGGGAGCAAACCGGAUUAGGUACCCGGGUAGUCCUGGCCGUAAACGAUGGGUGCUAGAUGUGGGCAGGGUGAAACCUGUCCGUGUCGCAAGCUAACGCGUUAAGCACCCCGCCUGGGGAGUACGGGCGCAAGCUUGAAAUUCAAAGGAAUGGACGGGGACCCGCACAACCGGUGGAGCGUCUGGUUUAAUUCGAUGCUAACCGAAAAACCUUACCAGGGCUUGACAUGCGGUGUGUCGUGCCCGAAAGGGCACUAGGCACCUCUUCGGAGGUGCCGCGCCGCACAGGUGGUGCAUGGCCGUCGUCAGCUCGUGCCGUGAGGUGUUGGGUUAAGUCCCGCAACGAGCGCAACCCUUGCCCCGUGUUACCAGCGGGUUAAGCCGGGUACUCACGGGGGACUGCCGGCGAUAAGUCGGAGGAAGGAGGGGAUGACGUCAGGUCAGUAUGCCCUUUAUGCCCUGGGCUACACAGGCGCUACAAUGGCAGGGACAAAGGGUUGCGAAGCUGUGAGGCGGAGCUAAUCCCAAAAACCCUGUCGUGGUGCGGAUUGGGGGUUGCAACUCACCCCCAUGAAGGCGGAAUCGGUAGUAAUGGCGAAUCACCAAAGUCGCCGUGAAUACGUUCCCGGGUCUUGUACACACCGCC
This 1400-nucleotide ribosomal RNA is filed under the name uncultured bacterium. Its description in RNAcentral is "bacterial SSU rRNA". It matches the Rfam family "Bacterial small subunit ribosomal RNA". The record is from RNAcentral.